GUGAAUCAUCGAAUCUUUGAACGCACAUUGCGCCCAUUGGUAUUCCGAUGGGCAUGCCUGUUCGAGCGUCAUUAUCAACCCUCAAACCUCCGGUUUGGUGUUGGAGGCGUGGCCCGGCUCACCCCGGGCCCCUCCCAAAGACAAUGACGGCGGCGACGACGGCCCCGGUACACUGAGCUUUCUACGAAGCACGUACUGGUUGAACCGCGUGGCCUACGGUCUUCCUCCCCUCGGGGAGAAUUUUUACCAAGUUGGACCUCGGAUCAGGUAGGGAUACCCGCUGAACUUAAGCAUAUCAAUAAGCGGAGGA
Molecule: unclassified non-coding RNA, 310 nt
Filed under: Veronaea sp.
Lineage: Eukaryota; Fungi; Ascomycota; Eurotiomycetes; Chaetothyriales; Herpotrichiellaceae
Description: partial contains 5.8S ribosomal RNA, internal transcribed spacer 2, and large subunit ribosomal RNA
Rfam family: 5.8S ribosomal RNA (bases 1-71)
Source: RNAcentral